GGCGGUGUGCCCGAGUGGCCAAUGGGAACGGACUGUAAAUCCGUCGGCUAUGCCUACCCAGGUUCGAAUCCUGGCGCCGCCA
Molecule: transfer RNA, 82 nt
Filed under: Streptomyces scabiei
Lineage: Bacteria; Bacillati; Actinomycetota; Actinomycetes; Kitasatosporales; Streptomycetaceae
Also listed under: 11 other names
Description: tRNA-Tyr
Rfam family: tRNA
About the family: Transfer RNA (tRNA) molecules are approximately 80 nucleotides in length. Their secondary structure includes four short double-helical elements and three loops (D, anti-codon, and T loops). Further hydrogen bonds mediate the characteristic L-shaped molecular structure. tRNAs have two regions of fundamental functional importance: the anti-codon, which is responsible for specific mRNA codon recognition, and the 3' end, to which the tRNAs corresponding amino acid is attached (by aminoacyl-tRNA synthetases). tRNAs cope with the degeneracy of the genetic code in two manners: having more than one tRNA (with a specific anti-codon) for a particular amino acid; and 'wobble' base-pairing, i.e. permitting non-standard base-pairing at the 3rd anti-codon position.
Source: RNAcentral